RNAcentral lists this transfer RNA (68 nucleotides) under Marmota monax (woodchuck). Its description in RNAcentral is "tRNA.Ser". The record is from RNAcentral. Lineage: Eukaryota; Metazoa; Chordata; Mammalia; Rodentia; Sciuridae.
GGUCUAUAGCUCAGUGGCAGAGCACUCCCCUAGAACAGGUGAGGCACUGGGUUCAAUCCUCAGAACCA